Molecule: ribosomal RNA, 253 nt
Filed under: uncultured bacterium
Lineage: Bacteria
Description: partial 16S ribosomal RNA
Rfam family: Bacterial small subunit ribosomal RNA
Source: RNAcentral
UACGUAGGGUGCAAGCGUUGUCCGGAAUUAUUGGGCGUAAAGAGCUCGUAGGCGGUUUGUCGCGUCUGCUGUGAAAACCCGAGGCUCAACCUCGGGCCUGCAGUGGGUACGGGCAGACUAGAGUGCGGUAAGGGAGAUUGGAAUUCCUGGUGUAGCGGUGAAAUGCGCAGAUAUCAGGAAGAACACCCGUGGCGAAGGCGGCUCUCUGGGCCUGCACUGACGCUCAUGCACGAAAGCGUGGGGAGCAAACAGG